This 480-nucleotide ribosomal RNA is filed under the name uncultured bacterium. RNAcentral's name for it is "bacterial SSU rRNA". It matches the Rfam family "Bacterial small subunit ribosomal RNA", at positions 28 to 502 of the family's 1533-position model. The record is from RNAcentral.
GAUGAACGCUAGCGGCAGGCUUAACACAUGCAAGUCGAGGGGCAGCAUACCCGGCAACGGGUGAUGGCGACCGGCGUAAGGGUGAGUAACGCGUGAGCAACAUACCCGUAUCAGUGGGAUAAUACAGGGAAACUUGUUCUAAUAUCACAUAAUAUUAUUCAGAGGCGUCUUUGGAUAAUUAAAGUUCAGGCGGAUACGGAAUGGCUCGCGUGACAUUAGCUAGAUGGUAGGGUAAAGGCCUACCAUGGCUAUGAUGUCUAGGGGUUCUGAGAGGGAGGUCCCCCACACUGGAACUGAGACACGGUCCAGACUCCUACGGGAGGCAGCAGUGAGGAAUAUUGGACAAUGGAUGAAAAUCUGAUCCAGCCAUGCCGCGUGCAAGGAAGGCGGCCCUAUGGGUUGUAAACUGCUUUUGUACGGGAGCAAUAAGGUCUACGAGUAGAUUGAUGAGAGUACUGUACGAAUAAGCAUCGGCUAACU